Molecule: small nuclear RNA, 107 nt
Organism: Oryctolagus cuniculus (rabbit)
Lineage: Eukaryota; Metazoa; Chordata; Mammalia; Lagomorpha; Leporidae
Source: Ensembl
GUGCUCACUUUAGCAGCAUAUAUACUAAAUUUGGAACGAUACAGAGAAGAUUAGCAAGGCCCCUGCACAAGGAUGACAUGCAAAUUUGUGAAGCAUUCUAUAUUUUU